This 16-nucleotide small RNA is filed under the name Arabidopsis thaliana (thale cress). RNAcentral's name for it is "ATSL226980". Lineage: Eukaryota; Viridiplantae; Streptophyta; Magnoliopsida; Brassicales; Brassicaceae. The record is from RNAcentral.
AUUGCAUAAUCAGUUU